Long non-coding RNA from Salvelinus sp. IW2-2015, 656 nucleotides. RefSeq lists it as uncharacterized. Lineage: Eukaryota; Metazoa; Chordata; Actinopteri; Salmoniformes; Salmonidae. The record is from RefSeq and is a predicted model, not a curated record.
AGUAGCAGGCAGUUUACUCUGGGCACCUUAUUCAUCCAAGCUACUCAAUACUGCCCCCAGCCAUAAGAAGUUAAAGCUCUAAUCGGCCAACCAGUAAAAUAUUACAUAGUCAGACAGAUACACUGAGUUUUUUCAGUCAUUUCUGCUGGCCUUGCAGUCUAUCCAUUACAUUUUGCUUUAGCACAGUCGCUGCUUUGUCUUGCAAACCAAGCUCAGUCACAACUUCAUAAGUGUUUGUCUAGAGCAGAAAGUCCCUAUCUAAUCUGUAAAUGUUUCACAAUGCAAUACACUUUGCCCUACAAUUAUUUGGCCAAUAGUAAAAAAAAAACUGGAAUGACAAGCACAGGUACUGUAUUCUUUACAAUCCAUUAAGAGGGAGAGGAGUUUGUUUCCACAACAAUAAACCUGUGGUCCUUUCUCCAUGGAGAUGGCCCCGGGGUCUGGUUUCCAUGACAUUAAGUGAUGUUGGUGGUGAUUCUGCUGUGGACUGCCACAUCCACAGAUGGGGGAGCUCAAGUCCGCUUGGUGACAUACAGUUAACAGAUGACAUCAAUCACCUGCAGUUCUACAAAUCUACCCAGGGCCUAAACUCACCUGGUCCACUGACCCCCCCUCUGACCUUUCAAUUUGACCCUGGAACCAUCCAGAACUCCAUC